CCUACGGGUGGCAGCAGUAGGGAAUAUUGCUCUAUGGGGGAAACCCUGAAGCAGCAACGCCGCGUGGAGGAUGAAGGUUUUCGGAUUGUAAACUCCUUUUGUUAGAGAAGAUAAUGACGGUAUCUAACGAAUAAGCACCGGCGAACUCCGGGCCAGCAGCCGCGGUAAUACGGGGGGUGCAAGCGGUCCUCGGAAUCACGGGGCGUGAAGAGCGCGUAGGCGGGGUAGCAAGUCAGGUGUGAAAGCGUAUGGCUGAACCGUAGAACUGCAUCUGAUCCUGUUACUCUAGAGUAUGGGAGAGGUAGGUGGAAUUCUUGGUGUAGGGGUAAAAUCCGUAGAGAUCAAGAGGAAUACUCAUUGCGAAGGCGACCUGCUAGAACAUAACUGACGCUGAUGCGCGAAAGCGUGGGGAGCAAACAGGAUUAGAUACCCCGGUAGUC
This 440-nucleotide ribosomal RNA is filed under the name uncultured bacterium. RNAcentral describes it as "partial 16S ribosomal RNA". It matches the Rfam family "Bacterial small subunit ribosomal RNA", at positions 338 to 795 of the family's 1533-position model. The record is from RNAcentral.